UUGGCAGUUUAAAGAAAUUGGAAUUUGAUGGAGCCAUUAAAAGAGAGAUUGUAAUUCCAUCUCAUGUACUUCCUUACUUGAAGACCUUAGAAGAAUUGAAUGUACAUAGCUCCGAUGCAGCGCAGGUAAUAUUUGACAUAGAUGACACUGAUGCCAACCCCAAGGGUAUAGUCUUUCGUUUGAAAAAACUUACUCUAAAACGCUUGCCUAAUUUGAAAUGUGUAUGGAACAAAACCCCCCAAGGAAUUCUCAGCUUUUCCAAUUUGCAAGAUGUGGAUGUUACUGAAUGUAGAAGCCUGGCAACAUUGUUCCCUUUGUCCCUUGCCCGAAAUCUUGGGAAGCUUAAGACCCUUCAAAUAUUUAUCUGUCAAAAGUUGGUAGAAAUUGUUGGAAAGGAAGAUGUGACGGAACAUGCAACAACUGUUAUGUUUGAUUCCCUUGUUUGUGGACUGCUUCUUAUAAGCUGUCCUGCUUAGUGCUUUUUAUCCUUGAAAACACCAUCUGGAAUGCCCCUCCUAACAAGCUUGCGUGUGUCCUAUUGUCCUAAGUUGAAGCUAUUCACAUCAGAAUUUCGAGAUAGUCCCAAACAAGCAGUUAUAGAGGCUCCAAUUAGCCAACUACAACAACAACCUCUGUUCUCGGUUGAAAAGGUGACAAAACAUUAUCAGUUAUACUUUUUGUGCUUUUUUUUUCUUUAAUUUCAUAUUAUAUUUUCCUCCUUCUAAUUACCACCUUGCAUUUUCUUUUUAAUUUGUUUGGCCUUGCUAGAUUGCAAUCAAUCUGAAGGAAUUGACACUCAAUGAGGAAAACAUUAUGUUGUUGAGCGAUGGACAUUUGCCACAAGACCUCCUUUUCAAAUUAAGAUUUCUUCAUCUAUCCUUUGAGAAUGAUGACAAUAAGAUAGACACUUUGCCUUUUGAUUUCCUUCAGAAGGUACCCAGCUUAGAACAUCUUCUAGUGCAAAGGUGCUAUGGUCUGAAGGAGAUAUUUCCCUCUCAGAAACUCCAAGUUCAUGACCGUUCACUUCCCGCAUUGAAACAAUUAAUCCUGUAUAAUCUUGGAGAGCUGGAGUCGAUAGGGUUAGAGCACCCAUGGGUUCAGCCAUACUCUCAAAAGCUUCAAUUAUUACAUCUUAUCAACUGUUCUCAGUUAGAAAAACUAGUGAGCUGUGCAGUGUCUUUCAUCAAUCUGAAAGAGUUGCAAGUGACGUGCUGUAAUAGGAUGGAGUAUUUAUUGAAAUUCUCAACUGCCAAAAGUUUGUUGCAACUUGAGACCCUAUCUAUAGAGAAAUGUGAAUCAAUGAAGGAAAUAGUAAAAAAAGAAGAAGAAGAUGCUUCUGAUGAGAUCAUAUUUGGACGCCUCAGAAGAAUAAUGUUGGAUUCAUUACCAAGGCUAGUAAGGUUUUAUUCAGGGAAUGCCACUUUGCAUUUAAAGUGUUUGGAAGAAGCCACGAUUGCUGAAUGCCAGAAUAUGAAAACAUUCUCAGAAGGAAUAAUAGAUGCGCCAUUAUUAGAGGGGAUUAAAACUUCAACAGAGGAUACUGACUUAACCUCCCACCAUGAUCUCAACACCACAAUCCAGACCUUGUUUCACCAACAGGUCAGGAAUCAUUAUCCACCAAAUUCAAUUGUUAUUUGUUUAUAUCUCUAAACAUAGGGGGCAUGCUAAUUAACCAAUGUCUCAACAAUAUUGAUUAAAAAAUUCGAGUUAAAAUAUGUUUGUAACUUUAAAUAAAUAUCUAAAAUUUGUGUUUGAUUCUUAAUAAUAUUUUUUUUGUGUGUGUCAUAAGUUUUUUUUUUUUUGUUAUUGGUCCUUCAUAUUUUUUAUAAUUCCUAAUAAAUUUAUAUUUAUUUGUUUAUUAUUUUUUAUUUUAGUAUUUUUUUUUAAAAUGACUAAUAACAAAUACAAAAAAUUUAUUUGGGAGUAAACAAAAACAAAUUUCUUAAUUUAUAAGACACUAAAAAAGAAUCAUUGACCAAAAAUAAGAUUGUUAUUUUAUUAAAGAUUCAAUAUAAUUUUAUUUUCCUUUUAAUUCCUUAAAUAAUGUCCUAAAAAUACUAGUUAAUCAAACCUUUAUUUUAAAAUGUACACUCUCGUUCUUUCCCUUGUACUUUAGGUAAUUUUUAAUGUAUAUAAUAUCUUAAUAGUUGUGAAUAAAUAUGAGUUAGUGUGUCUCCCAAUUAUAUAUUAUCUUUUUCUACCACUUUUAAUGUGACCACCAACUAAUUUUUAAAAACCUAUAUAUUGUUGAUCAUAAUUUUUUUAUAAAGUAGAAUGAAACUUUAAAUAUUUUUAUUAUCACCAAUGAAUUAAGUCUAAUAAAAGAGCUUAAUCGAUGUAAUAAAUUAAUUAUAUAUGUUUCAAAUUAUUGAUAAAAUAGAUGUUCACAUUUAUUAUCUGACUUAGUUUUAAAUAGAAUUGUCUCUAAAUUAAAAACUAAAAAAUAUCUCUUUAAUUGCUUAUGAAAUUUCAUCUUCUAAUCAAAGUCACAAAAUUCAUAUCAUAUGUUCGAAAUUUGUAGAUCAUGGUGAGGAUAACUGCAAGAGAAUUAUUAGUUUAAAAAAAAAACUCAUUUACAUGAUAUAGACUGAAUUAUAAUACUUAUUUAUCUUUCAAGGAAGGAGAGUGUAUAUUUUAAAAUAAGAGUGAAAGUGAAUAUAAUUUAAGCUUCUCUAGGAUAGCAGAAGGAGAUUUACUCUAAAAUAUUUCUUACGGCAUACAUUACUUACUACAUUAAAAACUUGUCAUGAUGAUAUCUUUGUUUGCUUUUACCAACACUUGUUUGAUCUUUUACCAAUAGGUUGUGUCAUAAAUCAAUAUCUCAAAAGUUUAUUUGUUUUGGACAAAGACAUACAUAUGGUUUUAUAUAUUAUAUCUCUAAUUUGCCUUUGAAUCCCUUUGAUUAGCUUGAAAUGUGGAUAAUACAAUCCAUCUACGACCUUUAGACUCUAAUACUUACUUACAAUAUAUAUCAUGAACCAAUAAUUAAUGUCACAAGAUUAAGAUUAAGCUGUUGCGUAAAGGCACAUGAAUGAUUUUAAUUAAUAAUAUAUCUCAUAUAUUAAAUUUUAAAUACAUUUUCAUUAUUACAAUGGCUAUUGUGAGAAUAACAUAUUUAUAAUGUUCUUAUUAAGUUCUAUUUGACUUAUUAUAAUUAAUAAAUUUUGUGUUUGUUAUUUUAUAAUAAUUUUUUUUCAUUGGCUCUCCUAUAAAAUAAUAAUUUUAUUUCUAUUCUUGGUAUCGUUUUUUAAUCACUAAUGAACUUUUUUUUAUAACCUGAUAUUUUUUUUCAUGUUAUUAAACAAAAAAUUAAUAAUUUAUCAUCAACUAAAAAAGGUGUCAUAAACAAAAAUAAAACUUUUGUUUUAUUAGGAAUUCAAUACAAAGAACAAUAUUUAUUAAAAAAUAAAUAUAAAAUUUAAAUAUUUAUUGAGGAUCUAAAAUAUAUUUUACCCUAAUAUAAAUGUGAGAAAAAAGGAUAAGAGAGCUACCUUAUAGAAAGAAAUUAAGUAUCUAAAUGGACCAAAAAGAUACAGCAGUCAAAUUCGUUGUAUUUGACCCGUGUAACAAGACAAAGGAUAAGGUUCAUAAUCUCCACCAUGGGUAACACAUGUUUUGAAACUUCAAACACAUUUUUUGGAAGCUUAAAACAAAAGAAUACAUUUUUAUCCUACUUAAAUUGUAAAGAAAAAAUGAAAACUUAAAUUAGAGUAAGAUCAACUUCUAUGAAUAUCCAUUUUUAUCCUCUAACUUUUUAUCUUUAUCAAUAUUUUAAUUUUUUAAUCCAUGUUUUUUUGUUAUUGCUAAUACCUUGAAGAUAGUUUAGACCAUGUCUAUUAGGACAAAACCCAGCCUUUUCACUCUUUUUUUUUUUUUUUUUAUCGUAGGCUAGUUGAGUUCAAUUUCAAUUUUAUUUUGUUUCCUCUUCACCUUCCAUUAUUUUAUUUAUAACUCAACACAAUUUUUCUUGCCUUUUUCUUUUUAUUUAUAUAUUAUUUUAUUUGUGUCUUCUUAAACCAAAAUUUAACCACAAUUGUUAUUUUCACUCAUCUUUACACACUAUGACACUUCCUUUCUUAUUUUAUACCAAAAUUACCUUGCUAAACACUAUCAUCCUCUUUCUCUUCUCUUUCUUCAGAAAAGAAAAGAAAAAGAAAAAAGGCACUCCCCUCCACAACUCUAGUAACACAUUUGACAAAUGUGAAUGAUCUUAUUAUAAUUUGCUCAUUUUUUUAAAACAAAAUACUUAUGAGAGUAGUACAAAAUAAAGAAAUAUAUUUUGAAGCAAAUUUGUUCAUGCGCGUGCCUGUCGAUAACAAAACAACUCUUAACUCAACCAUUUUUGGAUGUCUUGAAUUUUUAUAUAUAGAAUAUUUCACUAAAGCAUGGAUGUAUCUCAACCUUAUUUUUGCUUGGGUGUUUAAUUCUUAAUCUUGUUAUAUGAUAUUAUUAAGAGAAAACAAAAGGACACCAUAAGGAAUGCCCCUUCUAGAACAUACAAUGCAUGUACACAACUCAGGAUAACAUACACUUACAAAAAGAUACUCACUAAAAUAAGUUACACUAAAAGAACACAAUUUUACAAAUAAAAAAAUGCUACAGAAAUAAAAAAAAACUGAUAUAUUAUUUAUAAUAAAAAAUACCGAUAAUUUUUUAUAUUUUAGAAAUCUACUGGAGGUCCCAAACAGCUCCCUUAAUUUUACUCAACCUUUUCAUACUAAUUGGGCAUAUUAACCCAAAAUAUUAUGUUAAAGUAUAAUUGGAUAUCUAAAGCCUUAUGUUUUUUUAUUUUUUAUAAGAGGAGCACAAAACAUUCUAUCAACCUUCUUUUCUUUUCUCUUCUCUUCUAUUUUUUUUUUAAUAUUUUGGGCGGGCAUGAGCUGUUAUAUUUUGGGCUUACAUGAGCUGAAAAGUUAUGUUAUCUUUUCUCCUUAUCUUUUCGUUUCAUUACAAUUUUCUUACCAUGUGGGUCAUAGACCUUUAGUCACUAUUUUAUUCCCAUUUUGGUCUUUCUACAUUUUAGACCAUUGGAAUCCAUUCUAAAAAUAAUAAAGAAAAUAACUCCUCUAGCCCAAAUAUUAAAAGAUGCUCUUACUUUAAAUUACAUGUAUAAACUUAUUUCUAUUAGACUCGUACAAAAAUAAUAUAUCAAAAUAAAGCGCAAAAUUUAAUUAAAAAACAAAAAUGAGAAUUUGAAAUUUAACAAGAGAUAAUUGUAGAUAUCUCAAUUAAGGAGGCACAUGCAUAUAUAGUUUUCUACAAUCAAAUGUAAAUCCAAGUGGUACACACGAGACUUGUCAAGUAUCUGACGUUGAGUUUCUCUGGCUUUGAAGGUAUUUUUUGAAUAUUCAAAGCAAAUGAUCCUUGUCGAUUACCUUGAGACAACGGGUGUUAGGCGCGCCAAACCUGCUUUUCUGAAGAAUUUCUUUGGCAGUUUAAAGAAAUUAGAAUUUGAUGGAGCCAUUAAAAGAGAGAUUGUAAUUCCAUCUCAUGUACUUCCUUACUUGAAGACCUUAGAAGAAUUCAAUGUACAUAGCUCCGAUGCAGCGCAGGUAAUAUUUGACAUAGAUGACACUGAUGCCAACACCAAGGGAAUGCUCCUUCCAUUGAAAAAGCUUACUCUAGAAAGCUUGUCAAAUUUGAAAUGUGUAUGGAACAAAACCUCCCGAGGAAUUCUCAGCUUUCCCGAUUUGCAAUAUGUGGAUGUUCAAGUUUGUAAAAACUUGGUGACACUGUUCCCUUUGUCCCUUGCCCGAAAUGUUGGGAAGCUUCAGACCCUUGUAAUACAGAACUGUGACAAGUUGGUAGAAAUUAUUGGAAAGGAAGAUGCGACGGAACAUGCAACAACUGAAAUGUUUGAAUUCCCAUUUUUGUUGAAGUUGCUUCUUUUUAAGCUGUCACUGCUUAGUUGCUUUUAUCCUGGGAAACACCAUCUGGAAUGCCCCGUAUUAGAAAGCUUGGGUGUGUCCUAUUGUCCUAAGUUGAAGCUAUUCACAUCAGAAUUUCACAAUGAUCACAAAGAAGCAGUUACAGAGGCUCCAAUUAGCCGGCUACAACAACAACCUCUGUUCUCAGUUGAUAAGGUGACAAAGCAUUAUCAGUUAAACUUUCUGUGCUUCCUUUUUUUCUUAAUUUCAUAUUAUAUUUUCCUCCUUCUAACUACCACCUUACAUUUUCUUUUGAAUUUGUUUGGCCUUGCUAGAUUGUUCCCAAUCUGAAGAGCUUGACACUCAAUGAGGAAAACAUUAUGUUGUUGAGCGAUGCACGUUUGCCACAAGACCUCCUUUUCAAAUUAACUUGUCUUGAUCUAUCCUUUGAUAAUGAUGGCAUUAAGAAAGAUACUUUGCCUUUUGAUUUCCUUCAGAAGGUACCCAGCUUAGAACAUCUUCGAGUGGAAAGAUGCUAUGGUCUGAAGGAGAUAUUUCCCUCUCAGAAACUCCAAGUUCAUGACCGUUCACUUCCCGCAUUGAAACAAUUAACACUGUUAGAUCUUGGAGAGCUGGAGUCGAUAGGGUUAGAGCAGCACCCAUGGGUUAAGCCAUACUCUGAAAAGCUUCAAAUAUUAACUCUUUGGGGGUGCCCUCGAUUAGAAAAUUAGUGAGCUGUGCAGUGUCUUUCAUCAAUCUGAAAGACUUGGAAGUGAUCGACUGUAAUGGGAUGGAGUAUUUAUUGAAAUGCUCAACUGCCAAAAGUUUGAUGCAACUUGAGAGCCUAUCUAUACGAGAAUGUGAAUCAAUGAAGGAAAUAGUAAAAAAAGAAGAAGAAGAUGGUUCUGAUGAGAUCAUAUUUGGAGGCCUCAGAAGAAUAAUGUUGGAUUCAUUACCAAGGCUAGUCGGGUUUUAUUCAGGGAAUGCCACUUUGCAUUUCAAGUGUUUGGAAGAAGCCACGAUUGCUGAAUGCCAGAAUAUGAAAACAUUCUCAGAAGGAAUAAUAGAUGCGCCAUUAUUAGAGGGGAUUAAAACUUCAACAGAUGAUACUGAUCACUUAACCUCCCACCAUGAUCUCAACACCACAAUCCAGACCUUGUUUCACCAACAGGUAAGCAAUUCAUUAUCCAAAUUCAAUUCUUAUUUAGUUAUAUCUAAGUAUAGGGUCAUGCUAAUUAACCAAUGUCUGUUGUUGAUUACAAAAUUUAGGUUAAAAUAUGUUUAUAAUUUUUAAUAAAUAUUUAGUUUUCUGUUUGUUUUCUAAUAAUUUUUUUUUGUAUUUAUCAUCUAAUAAAACAAAAAUUUUGUUAGUGAUUCUUGACAUUUUUUAUAGUUACUAAUAAAUUAGUUAAUUUUAUGUUUAUUAUUUAUAAUUUUUUCCAUUUUGAUAUCGUUUUCUUUAAAAAAAAGACUAAUAACAAAUACAAACAAUUUAUUAUCGAACUGACUAAAAAUUUGUUAAUUUAUAAAAUACUAAAAAAUAUCAAUGACCAAAAAUAAAUUUUUUAUUUUAUUAAGGACUAAAUAAAUUUUUUUUAUGAAGAAUUAAACAUAAAAUUUGAGUAUUUAUUUAGGAUUAAAAACAUAGUUUAGCCAAAAUUUUAAAAUAGAAUUUUUUAUUUUUUAUUUUUUGAAAUUGCUUUGAAUUUAUAAUAGGGAUGUACCUGAUUACUCUAUUAUAUAAAAUAAUAGUCUUUUGGGAAAUAUUUAAUUAAUAUAAAUUUUGACAAAAAUACCAUUUGUAUGCCAACCACUCCUGUCAUAAAUAAUCCUACUACCCAUCCAACUUAUUUUUACGAUUAACGCAAGUAUUAAUUUAUUCUCUUAGUUAUAUACUGGAGUAUUGUUGGAAAGUAGCUUUAAAAGGUAAAGGACUAUUGUUUUGAAAUAUUAAUAAUACUUAUUAAUUAAAAAAUUAUAUUUUAAAUUCUUUAACGGGUACCCUUAGGGCAUUAAUUAGCAUUGGCCAUAAAUUUAAUUUGGAAGCCACAAAUUGAUUCUAGAGUAGUAUUUCUCUUAUCUAGUAUUUUAAGAUAAAUGCUAGCCAAGGUAUUGAAUAAAGAAGUAAAGAAAGAAAAAGUUUUAUUGGAAUGAAAAAAAUACACUUUCCUAUGAUUUUAAAAUGUGUUUUGAUAUGAUUUCCAACAAAACAUUUUUCAAAUAUUCUAAGCUAACCAUACCUUUAUUUUAAAAUAUACACUUUACUCCCUUAAGUUACACUUUAGGUAAAUGUAGACAAUUUUUAAUAACUAUGAACAAAUAUGAGUUAAUGUGCUUCCCAAUCAUGUAUUAUCUUUUUUUAUAACUUUUAAUGUCGUCACCAACUAAUUUUAAAAAUCUUAUAUAUUGUUGAUGAUAGUUUUUUUAUAAAGUAGAAUGAAGAUUUAAAUAUCUAUAUUAUCAACAAUGGAUUAGGUCUAAUAAAAAGGGUUAAUCUUUUACAAUGUAAUAAAUUAAUUAUAUUUGUUUCAAAUUACGGCUAAAAUAUGUCCACAUUUGCUAUCUAACUUGGUUUUAAAUAGGAUUGUCUCUAAAUUAAAAACCAAAAAAUAUAUUUUUAAUUUUUUUAAAAUUUCAUCUUCUAAUUAAAGUCACAAAAUUCAUAUCAUAUGCUCGAUAUUUGUAAAUUAUUGUGAGGAUCACUGCAAGAGAAUUAUUAUUUAAAAAAAAUAAAGUCAUUUACAUGAUAUAGACUCAAAUAUAAUACUUAUUUAUCCUUCAAGGAAGGAGAAUGCAUAUUUUAAAAUAAGAGGGAAAGUAAAUAUAAUUUAAGCUUCUCUAGAAUUGAAGAAGGUAAUUUACUCUAAAAUAUUUCUUACGGCAUACAUUACUCUAAAAAUAUAUCAUGAUAUCUUUGUUAGCUUUUACCAAUACUUGUUCAAUUUUUUACUAAUAGGUUGUGUGUCAUAAAUUAAUAUCUCAAAAGUUUAUUUGUUAUGGAUUAAGACAUACAUGUGGUUUUAUAUUACAUCUCUAACUUGCCUUUGCAUCCCUUUGAUUAAUUGGUUUGAAACGUGGAUAAUACAAUCCAUCUACGACCUUUAGACUCUAAUACGGACAAUAUAUAUCAUGAACCAAUAAUUAAUGUCACAAGAUUAAGAUGUUACGUAAAGGCACAUGAAUGAUUUUAAUUAAUAAUAUAUCUCGUAUAUUAAAUUUCAAGUACAUUUUCAUUAUUACAAUGGCUAUUGCGAGAAAAACAUAUCCACAAUUUUCUUAUUAUAGGUUCCAUUUUUUACUUAUUACAUAGGCUAAAAGCAAGAAAUAUAAAUGCUCUCUUUUUGUUUUCGUUUAAUCUAAUAGAAAUUUAGUUUCUUCCUCCAAUAUUGUAGCUGCCUUCUCUCUUUUGUUUCACAAUUCUGUUAUUAUAAACCCUCCACUUAGUUUAUAUCCAUUCAGAGCAAAGCUACCUUUACCGCUUUGUAUACUCCAAUACUUUAUUUUGUAGUGAUUUAUAGGAUUAAUCUAGUAGAAAAUUAGUGUUCAAGUGUAUAAAACAAUAAAUAUAACUUUAUCAUAAAUGAAUGAAUCUAACAUGAGUGAAAGAUUUAUAAUAAAAUAGAGGAUAAAAUAUGUUUUAGAUUCCUGAUAAAUUAAUAAAUUUUGUAUUUAUUUUUUUAUAACAAUUUUAUUUUUACUAUAAAAUAAAAAUUUUAUUUUUAAGUCUUGAUACCAUUUUUAGUCACUAAUAGAUUAGUGAACUUUUUGUUUGUAUCUAAUAAUUUUUUUCAUGCACGUACAUGCCAAUAAUAAAACAACUCCAACUCAACCAUUUUUUGUCGUCCUGAAUUUUUUUUAUAGGAUAUUUCAGUAAAGCAUGAAUGUAUCUCAACCUUAUUUAUUUUUAGUUGUUUGACGCUUCAUCUUGUUAUAAUUUUUUGAUAUGAUAUUAUUAAGAGGGAAAAAAAAAAGACACCAUAAAAAAUGUCAUUUUCUCAAGUUUUUCACUUUUAUUCAAUGUGCAACUUUACUUCACUUAUACUCCUAUGCAUAUAUUAAUAAAAUAGACAAAAACCAAAAUAUAAAACAUAAAGAAACACAAAUCUUUUGUAAGAAAUAAACUAGCUAGACCCCAACUUAGUGCCCGUACGAGAAUGAUUUUAGCUUUAAAAUGUAUCAUAAAGCCUUGUAGUAGACCUUGCAUUUUAUUCUUUCAGUCGUUCCCUUGUAUAUUUUCAACGCUCAUCCACCUUGAGUCAGCCAUCAAUCUUUCGAAGACAAAAUCUAAAACUAUUGAUCCACUCAAACUAAGAGUAAGAAAAUCCUUCAAUAAAAUUAUAUAAUGGUAAUCACCUUAUAACAUUACCUUAUAAAACGUUUUGGGUGCACCUUUGUUGUGCGACGUAAAAACAAUAGAUCGAAUUCUAUGCUCUAAUCACACUAAUAGUAUCACAAUGUGUUUUUGGUUGGAACAAAUUGUCAGGAGGUUGAGUGGUGUGGGAGGAGAGUGGUUUUCGAAAUGUAGAAGUGUGUAUUUUUUCGAAAAAGAUUUAAAUUGGGGAAGAAAGAGAAAAUGAGAGUGUGUUUUAUAAGGUAGUUUGAGAUGGAGUGUCUUUUUUCUUUUUCCGAGAAGAAAUAGAAGAGAGAGAUGAGAUAGUGUGUUUAAUGGGUAGUUUCAGUAUAAAAAAUGAGAAAGAAAGUGGAUUAAUAUAAAAGGGAGUGAAAAUAGCAAUUACCAACUUAACAAAUCUUUUAGGCUUUUUUUUCUUCUUUUAUUUCUAUUCUUUAAUUUUAUUCUACCUUUUCAUACUGAUUGCGCAUAUUAGUCCAAAAUAUUAGUUGAAUAUCCAUACCCUUAUGUAUUUUUCAUGAGCUGAAAAAGCUCUUUUCUCCUGAUCUUUUCAAUUCAUUAUCAUUUUAUUUUUUUCAUUCUUGAGCCAUAUGGGUCAAAACCUUUUAGCCACUAUUUUAUUCCUAUUAUGCUCUUUGUACAUUUUAGACCAUUGGAAUCCAUUCUAAAAAUAAUGAAUAAAAUUAUGAAUUAUAAUAAUAAUAUUUUUGGGAUUCUAACCAAAAAUGGCAUAAAUAACUCCUCUAGCACAAAUAUUAAAACAUGCUACAUGUAUAAACUGAUUUCUAUUAGACUGGUACAAAAACAAUAUAUCAAAAUAAAGCGCAUAAUUUAAUUAGAAAACAAAAAUGAGAAUUUGAAAUUAACAAGAGAUAAUAAUAGAUAUCUCAAUUAAGGAGGCACAUGCAUAUAUAGUUUUCUACAAUCAAAUGUAAAUCCAAGAGGUACACAUGAGACUUGUCAAGUAUCUGACGUUGAGUUUCUAUGGCUUUGAAGGUAUUUUUUGAAUAUUCAAAGCAUAUGAUCCUUGUCGAUUACCUUGAGACAACGGGUGUUAGGCACGGCAAACCUGCUUUUCUGAAGAAUUUCUUUGGCGGUUUAAAGAAAUUAGAAUUUGAUGGGGAGAUUAAGAGAGAGAUCGUAAUUCCAUCUCAUGUACUUCCUUACUUGAAGACCUUAGAAGAAUUGAAUGUACAUAGCUCCGAUGCUGUGCAGGUAAUAUUUGACAUAGAUGACAGUGAUGCCAACACCAAGGGAAUGGUCCUUCCAUUGAAAAAGCUUACUCUAAAAGGCUUGUCAAAUUUGAAAUGUGUAUGGAACAAAACCCUCCGAAGGAUUCUCAGCUUUCCCAAUUUGCAAGUAGUGUUUGUUACGAAAUGUAGAAGCUUGGCAACAUUGUUCCCUUUGUCCC
RNAcentral lists this long non-coding RNA (11629 nucleotides) under Glycine max (soybean). RNAcentral's name for it is "long non-coding RNA (GMAX_LNC004217)". Lineage: Eukaryota; Viridiplantae; Streptophyta; Magnoliopsida; Fabales; Fabaceae. The record is from RNAcentral.